Pelobates cultripes (western spadefoot toad) is the source of this 374-nucleotide non-coding RNA. Lineage: Eukaryota; Metazoa; Chordata; Amphibia; Anura; Pelobatidae. The record is from the annotation of a GenBank genome assembly.
CCAAUUGUGAUUUCGGGAUCGCUAUAGCUGGUUUGUGGGUUAGUGUACAGGGUCCCCGUGAGGACUGCUGUGGGUUGUUGCUGUGUGUCCCUGGGGGGUUUCCCAUGGAGAUAAGGGCUCUAGUCCCAGGGUGACUUGGCUCGGUGUAUGGUUGGGAGGCUCUGAGUUCCGAAGUGCUAUCAUUAGAAAGCGCUAGUGCUGGGGACGUGGUGAGGGUGAGACCUGGCAGUCUGGUGGCUUGUCAUGUAGUGCCCCACUAUGUGUGGUGUGGUGACGUGCGAGUGGUGGGGGAUCUAAACGUGGUAGGUAACAUCAACAUGAGUGAAUAACGGUAACGUAAAGUUUAGUGAGAUCCAAUAGAAUUAACUGAAAAC